Molecule: ribosomal RNA, 734 nt
Filed under: uncultured eukaryote
Lineage: Eukaryota
Description: SSU rRNA
Rfam family: Eukaryotic small subunit ribosomal RNA
Source: RNAcentral
UAGUCUGGUGCCAGCAGCCGCGGUAAUUCCAGCUCCAAUAGCGUAUAUUUAAGUUGUNGCAGUUAAAAAGCUCGUAGUUGGAUCUUGGNUCGUAAAGGUCGGUCCGCCUACUCGGUGUGCACCUGCCCUUCCGUCCCUUUUGUCGGCGGCGUGCUCCUGNCCUUAAUUGGCUGGGUCGCGGNUCCGGCGCUGUUACUUUGAAAAANUUAGAGUGCUCAAAGCAAGCUUAUNNUCUGAAUACAUUAGCAUGGAAUAACGUGAUAGGAGUCUGGUCCUAUUGUGUUGGCCUUCGGGACCGGAGUAAUGAUUAAUAGGGACUGUCGGGGGCAUUCGUAUUUCAUUGUCAGAGGUGAAAUUCUUGGAUUUAUGAAAGACGGACCACUGCGAAAGCAUUUGCCAAGGAUGUUUUCAUUAAUCAAGAACGAAAGUUGGGGGCUCGAAGACGAUCAGAUACCGUCCUAGUCUCAACCAUAAACGAUGCCGACCAGGGAUCGGCGGAUGUUGCUCUAAGGACUCCGCCAGCACCUUCUGAGAAAUCAGAGUGUUUGGGUUCCGGGGGGAGUAUGGUCGCAAGGCUGAAACUUAAAGGAAUUGACGGAAGGGCACCACCAGGAGUGGAGCCUGCGGCUUAAUUUGACUCAACACGGGGAAACUUACCAGGUCCAGACAUAGUAAGGAUUGACAGAUUGAGAGCUCUUUCUUGAUUCUAUGGGUGGUGGUGCAUGGCCGUUCUU